AGUGAACGCUGGCGGUAGGCCUAACACAUGCAAGUCGAACGGCCGCACAGUAAGAGCUUGCUCUUACGGGUGGCGAGUGGCGGACGGGUGAGGAAUACAUCGGAAUCUACUUUUUCGUGGGGGAUAACGUAGGGAAACUUACGCUAAUACCGCAUACGACCUACGGGUGAAAGCAGGGGAUCUUCGGACCUUGCGCGAUAGAAUGAGCCGAUGUCGGAUUAGCUAGUUGGCGGGGUAAAGGCCCACCAAGGCGACGAUCCGUAGCUGGUCUGAGAGGGUGAUCAGCCACACUGGAACUGAGACACGGUCCAGACUCCUACGGGAGGCAGCAGUGGGGAAUAUUGGACAAUGGGCGCAAGCCUGAUCCAGCCAUACCGCGUGGGUGAAGAAGGCCUUCGGGUUGUAAAGCCCUUUUGUUGGGAAAGAAAAGCAGCAGGUUAAUACCCCGCUGUUCUGACGGUACCCAAAGAAUAAGCACCGGCUAACUUCGUG
Molecule: ribosomal RNA, 492 nt
Filed under: uncultured bacterium
Lineage: Bacteria
Description: partial 16S ribosomal RNA
Rfam family: Bacterial small subunit ribosomal RNA
Source: RNAcentral